This 497-nucleotide ribosomal RNA is filed under the name uncultured bacterium. RNAcentral describes it as "partial 16S ribosomal RNA". It matches the Rfam family "Bacterial small subunit ribosomal RNA", at positions 28 to 507 of the family's 1533-position model. The record is from RNAcentral.
GACGAACGCUGGCGGCGUGCCUAAUACAUGCAAGUCGAGCGCUGAAGGUUGGUACUUGUGCCGUCUGGAUGAGCAGCGAACGGGUGAGUAACGCGUGGGGAAUCUGCCUUUGAGCGGGGGACAACAUUUGGAAACGAAUGCUAAUACCGCAUAAAAACUUUAAACACAAGUUUUAAGUUUGAAAGAUGCAAUUGCGUCACUCAAAGAUGAUCCCGCGUUGUAUUAGCUAGUUGGUGAGGUAAAGGCUCACCAAGGCGAUGAUAUGUAGCCGACCGGAGAGGGUGGUCGGCCACCUUGAGACGGAGACCCGGCCCAAACGCCUUCAGGAGGGAGCAGUAGGGAAACGUCGGGCAGGGGCGGAAGACUGACCGAGAAACGCCGAGGGAGGGAGGAGGGAUGUCGGGUCGUAAAACUCGGUUGGUAGAGAAGAACGUUGGUGAGAGUGGAAAGCUCAGCGAGUGACGGUAACUACUCAGAAAGGGACGGCUAACUACGUG